Non-coding RNA from Chiua virens, 97 nucleotides. The record is from the annotation of a GenBank genome assembly. NCBI's taxonomy places the organism in Eukaryota, Fungi, Basidiomycota, Agaricomycetes, Boletales, Boletaceae.
GGCCGGCUAGCUCAGUUGGUUAGAGCGUCGUGCUAAUACAGUCGGGAAUGACAUCCGAUGUACGCGAAGGUCCUGGGUUCGACCCCCAUGCUGGCCA